This 268-nucleotide small RNA is filed under the name Salvator merianae (Argentine black and white tegu). RNAcentral describes it as "7SK RNA (ENSSMRG00000008601.1)". The stretch from base 1 to 197 matches the Rfam family "7SK RNA". Rfam says of the family: 7SK was discovered as an abundant small nuclear RNA in the mid-70s but a possible function has only recently been suggested. Two independent studies have found that 7SK RNA binds the CDK9/cyclin T complex (known as elongation factor P-TEFb). The record is from RNAcentral. Lineage: Eukaryota; Metazoa; Chordata; Lepidosauria; Squamata; Teiidae.
GGACAUGAGGGUGAUCUAACUGCAAUACCUGUCACCCAGUUGAUCUCCAAGACUGAUUCACCUGAUCUGACUGGCUAGGCAGAUGUCCACUUCCUUUCUCAUCACGCCAUGUCCAUUUUUCCUGAACAUGUGUUUAGUGAGAGAGAGCAACCAUCACAGAUAGGAAUGUACUAUUCUUUGGUCAUGAGUAUACUGUAGGUCCAGAGUGCCCCAUAUACACAAUUUGGUGUCAGAAGGCCAGCCCAAGGCAUCCUGGGAGAUUCUUUUU